Humulus lupulus (European hop) is the source of this 852-nucleotide long non-coding RNA. RefSeq lists it as uncharacterized. The record is from RefSeq and is a predicted model, not a curated record. Lineage: Eukaryota; Viridiplantae; Streptophyta; Magnoliopsida; Rosales; Cannabaceae. The transcript has 3 exons.
AAUUUCGAAGCUCAAACCCCUCUCUCUCUCUCUCUCUCUCUAUGUGGUUUUGUUUAAUCGGUGUUUCGUUUUCGAAUUUCGUAUCCGAUAACGUGGGACUCGAUACGAAAUUCGAUUCGGUAACCGAAGCUUUGUGUAGGCUGUAGAUGUUUAUGGAAGUUUGAAGGAAAGGAGAUGAGGGAACGAAGGCGACGACUCAUCUCAGUGAUUUCGGGUUCUGCUUUCCUGUGGUUGAUUUUGUUGUUUGGCUUGCUUAGAAAACUAUAUGCUAUUUCAUAAGUUGCUGCCCUAAUUGCGUUUAAGACCAACUUAGUUGAUCCCAGCAAUGUUUUUGAGAAUUGGAAUGCCACACUUGUUGAGCCCCCCUGCAGAUGGAAUCACAUUACCUGCAAUAACGAAUCAAGUGUUACUCGAGUUGAUCUUGCAAAUGCAAAUCUAACUGGUACAUUGGUUCCUCAACUUGGUCAGCUAACGAAUCUACAGUUCUUGUAAGUCAUAGUUUUAGUUCAGCUGACUCAAAUUCGGUUUUUAUUUUUUUUUAGAAAUAUUUGCAGCAAAAAUCACUAAGUAGUUUAAAAGAUUGCACUUAACUUAAGAAGAAGAUUUUUUUUUUCCAUCAAAAGUAACAUUUUUGGUAUAGUUGCUGCUACGGGGAUGCCUUAGUGUACAAGAGGUGAGGUGAUAGAGAAAGAAAGGCCUUUUCAGUCUUGUCUCCUAGGUGGUGCGUUUUACUUAAGCUUGAUGGAGAAUCGGUGGAUCAUUUGUUUAUGCAAUGUCACUUCUCUCUACAAUUAUGGUUCAAUCUAUUGAAAGAGUUUUGAUUGCAGUGGGUUGUGCCACAACAUUGUUCCC